RNAcentral lists this ribosomal RNA (460 nucleotides) under uncultured bacterium. Its description in RNAcentral is "partial 16S ribosomal RNA". It matches the Rfam family "Bacterial small subunit ribosomal RNA", at positions 338 to 795 of the family's 1533-position model. The record is from RNAcentral.
CCUACGGGAGGCAGCAGUGAGGAAUAUUGGUCAAUGGACGCAAGUCUGAACCAGCCAUGCCGCGUGCAGGAUGACGGCUCUAUGAGUUGUAAACUGCUUUUAUACGGGAGUAAACGCAGACACGUGUACCUGUCUGAAAGUACCUUACGAAUAAGGAUCGGCUAACUCCGUGCCAUCAGCCGCGGUAAUACGGAGGAUUCAAGCGUUAUCCGGAUUUAUUGGGUUUAAAGGGAGCGUAGGAGGGCGGGUAAGUUAGUGGUGAAAUCCUGAGGAUCAACUGGGGAAUUGCCAUUGAUACUGGUAGGCUAGAGAAGAGGUGAGGUAGGCGGAAUGUGUGGUGUAGCGGUGAAAUGCAUAGAUAUCACGAAGAACUCCGAUUGCGAAGGCAGCUUACCGGACCGUGACUGACGCUGAUGCACGAAAGGGUGGGUAUCAAACAGGAUGAGAUACCCUAGUAGUC